RNAcentral lists this unclassified non-coding RNA (220 nucleotides) under uncultured fungus. RNAcentral's name for it is "sequence contains ITS1". Lineage: Eukaryota; Fungi. The record is from RNAcentral.
GUAUUGAUCGCGUGUGACCGCAAAAAUAAACAUUCUAGACUGUAUCGAGUUUUAUGUGAAAACGCGAGCCCUCCCGCAAAGGGGGACCCACGCGGUGAUGCACAAAGGGUGAGAUGGAUUGUGGGAGAGCGCUCGGGCGUGCACGACCUCUGAAGGUCAGCGACAGCCCUCGCACCUCGGUUGUACGAUAAUGAUCCUUCCGCAGGUUCACCUACGGAAA